Molecule: ribosomal RNA, 332 nt
Filed under: uncultured eukaryote
Lineage: Eukaryota
Description: partial 18S ribosomal RNA
Rfam family: Eukaryotic small subunit ribosomal RNA
Source: RNAcentral
CCCUUAGAUGUCCUGGGCUGCACGCGUGCUACACUGGAAGUUACGGAUUGAGAUACUACCUUGUCCGAAAUGGUCCGGGUAAUCACCUAAAAGCUUGUCAUAAUUGGAAUGGAUUAUUGUAACUAGUAAUCCUGAACGAGGAAUUCCUAGUAAGUCCCAGUCAACAGCUGGUACUGAUUACGUCCCUGCCCUUUGUACACACCGCCCGUCGCUACUACUGAUUGGACGUUUAAGCAAGAUUUUUAAACACUGACAGUGUGUAGUUCACGCUAUACUACAGUGAGAAGAAGAAGAUCGAGCUUACUUGUCUAGAGGAAGUAAAAGUCGUAACA